RNAcentral lists this ribosomal RNA (497 nucleotides) under uncultured bacterium. RNAcentral describes it as "partial 16S ribosomal RNA". It matches the Rfam family "Bacterial small subunit ribosomal RNA", at positions 28 to 507 of the family's 1533-position model. The record is from RNAcentral.
GAUGAACGCUGGCGGCGUGCAUAAUACAUGCAAGUCGAGCGAACGGACGAGAAGCUUGCUUCUCUGAUGUUAGCGGCGGACGGGUGAGUAACACGUGGAUAACCUACCUAUAAGACUGGGAUAACUUCGGGAAACCGGAGCUAAUACCGGAUAAUAUUUUGAACCGCAUGGUUCAAAAGUGAAAGACGGUCUUGCUGUCACUUAUAGAUGGAUCCGCGCUGCAUUAGCUAGUUGGUAAGGUAACGGCUUACCAAGGCAACGAUGCAUAGCCGACCUGAGAGGGUGAUCGGCCACACUGGAACUGAGACACGGUCCAGACUCCUACGGGAGGCAGCAGUAGGGAAUCUUCCGCAAUGGGCGAAAGCCUGACGGAGCAACGCCGCGUGAGUGAUGAAGGUCUUCGGAUCGUAAAACUCUGUUAUUAGGGAAGAACAUAUGUGUAAGUAACUGUGCACAUCUUGACGGUACCUAAUCAGAAAGCCACGGCUAACUACGUG